Dermochelys coriacea (leatherback sea turtle) is the source of this 467-nucleotide long non-coding RNA. RefSeq lists it as uncharacterized. NCBI's taxonomy places the organism in Eukaryota, Metazoa, Chordata, Testudines, Dermochelyidae. The record is from RefSeq and is a predicted model, not a curated record. The transcript has 3 exons.
UACCCGGAAGAGUGGCCCAGCUUGCCUUGCAACAGCGAUCUCGAAGAACCCAUGGUAUUGGACCCCCCUGAGGAUACCACUCUGACCCAGAGGAAGAAAUCUGAGCUUGGUGGACUGUUGAAGACCUUGGAUACCUCUCAAGUUCCCCAGCAGAUGGAAGGUUGGCCUCUGGACAUCUAUAGAAAUCCAAUCGAGACCUCAUCAAGACCCUGAAUCCUAUGGGAAACGGCCCCUGACGUGCCCUGGGAGCCAGUGGAGAUUUCAGCAAGCUACUGGAGCAUCUCUUAAGAUAUCUGAAGAACUGAAUUGUCCCAUGUGGCCCCCAGAAAUCCUAGCAAUUGCAGAGAAAUGCUGUGACAUUUGGGCCAAAAAUAAGAACGUGUUAAAAAUGGUACAGAAAUAUUAGUCAUACACCCUGCUCCCCCACCCCAGAAGCAAUAAGAGGCAAAAGCCAGUCUGAAACAAAC